GACGAACGCUGGCGGCGUGCUUAACACAUGCAAGUCGAACGGACAGGCCCUGCUUUUGUGGGGUGCUCGAGUGGCGCAGGGGUGAGUAACACGUGAGUAACCUGCCCUUGACUUUGGGAUAACUUCAGGAAACUGGGGCUAAUACCGGAUAGGAGCUCCUGCUGCAUGGUGUGGGUUGGAAAGUUUCGGCGGUUGGGGAUGGACUCGCGGCUUAUCAGCUUGUUUGUCGGGUAGUGGCUUACGAAGGGUUUGACGGCUAGCCGGCCUGAGAGGGUGACCGGCGACAAUGGGACUGAGAGACGGCGCAGACGGCUACGGGAGGCAGCAGUGGGGAAUAUUGCACAAUGGGCGGAAGCCUGAUGCAGCAACGUCGCGUGCGAGAUGACGGCCUUCGGGGUGUAAACCGCUUUCGCCUGUGACGAAGCGUGAGUGACGGUAAUGGGUAAAGAAGCACCGGCUAACUACGUG
Molecule: ribosomal RNA, 468 nt
Filed under: uncultured bacterium
Lineage: Bacteria
Description: partial 16S ribosomal RNA
Rfam family: Bacterial small subunit ribosomal RNA
Source: RNAcentral